RNAcentral lists this transfer RNA (76 nucleotides) under Marine Group III euryarchaeote CG-Bathy1. RNAcentral describes it as "tRNA-Gln". It matches the Rfam family "tRNA". From Rfam's summary of the family: Transfer RNA (tRNA) molecules are approximately 80 nucleotides in length. Their secondary structure includes four short double-helical elements and three loops (D, anti-codon, and T loops). Lineage: Archaea; Methanobacteriati; Thermoplasmatota; Thermoplasmata; Candidatus Thermoprofundales. The record is from RNAcentral.
AGCCCCGUAGUGUAGUGGUCCAUCAUUCUGGCCUUUGGAGCCAGAGACCCAGGUUCGAAUCCUGGCGGGGCUACCA